GGGCCAGUAGGUUGGUCGUGCCACCGGUACGUACUGGUCUCACUGAUUCCUCCUUCCUGAAGAACCGUAAUGCCAUUAAUCUGGUGUUGCGGGGAAACAGGACUGUUACUUUGAAAAAAUUAGAGUGUUUAAAGCAAGCUAACGCUUGAAUACAUUAGCAUGGAAUAAUGAAAUAGGACGAUCGAUCCUAUUUUGUUGGUUUCUAGGAUUGACGUA
This 216-nucleotide ribosomal RNA is filed under the name Glomeromycotina sp. RNAcentral describes it as "partial small subunit ribosomal RNA". The stretch from base 40 to 216 matches the Rfam family "Eukaryotic small subunit ribosomal RNA", at positions 686 to 864 of the family's 1831-position model. The record is from RNAcentral. Lineage: Eukaryota; Fungi; Glomeromycota.